This is an RNA transcript of Ctenopharyngodon idella (grass carp), 2664 nucleotides long. It is a transcript of the gene named UDP-N-acetylglucosamine pyrophosphorylase 1, with no coding region annotated. The record is from RefSeq and is a predicted model, not a curated record. Lineage: Eukaryota; Metazoa; Chordata; Actinopteri; Cypriniformes; Xenocyprididae. The transcript has 11 exons.
UGUUUCCGUGUGUGUCCUGCCACGUCAGUCUGACGGAUAUCGGAGGAGGAUCUCGUCUCGGGCAGUGAAGGAAGGCGGCGCUCUUAGGAGAUGUAGCCGUGUCUUUAGUCUCACUACUGAGGUGAGAGGGAAGUAUUGAAUGAUCAGCAGCUGCUCCAAAGAUCUAACGGAGAAACCAUGGACAUCAGCAAACUGGUUGAGAGACUCGCUGAAGCCGGGCAGUCUCAUGUCCUCCAGUUUUGGGAUCAGCUGAACCCUGAGGAGCAAGCUGAGAUGAGAGUGGAUCUGGAGAGCAUGAACUUCAUGGAGAUCAAUAACUUCUUUAAAACUGCCAUGAAGACAUCUGGGCAGAGCUCCCAGGAGAAAGUGGACAGCAGGAUGGAACCGGUGCCACGGGAAGUUUUGGGGAGUGUAACACGUGAUCAUGAAAGUCUUAAAAAAUGGGAAGAAGAAGGCCUGCGCUGUAUAUCAGAGAACAAAGUGGCGGUUCUUCUAUUGGCUGGAGGUCAAGGGACACGGUUGGGUGUAUCAUAUCCAAAAGGCAUGUAUGACGUUGGCCUCCCUUCCCACAAAACCCUCUUUCAGAUCCAGGCAGAACGCAUCCAAAGACUGGAACAGCUCGCUGAAAAGCAGCACACAAGGAAAUGCUGCAUUCCAUGGUACAUUAUGACAAGUGGCAGAACAAUGGACAUGACCAAAGAUUUCUUCAUGCGACACAACUACUUCGGCCUGAAGGAAGAGAAUGUGUUUUUCUUUCAGCAAGGCAUGCUUCCUGCUGUGGACUUUAAUGGGAAAAUUAUUCUAGAGGGCAAAGGCAAACUUGCCAUGGCACCAGACGGAAACGGGGGGCUGUACAGAGCUCUGGGGACACAGAACAUUGUGAAGGACAUGGAGACGAGAGGAAUCUCCUACAUCCACGUCUACUGCGUAGACAACAUUCUUGUGAAAGUGGCCGACCCUGCUUUCCUUGGCUUCUGUACACUUAAAGGAGCAGACUGUGGUGCAAAGGUUGUGGAGAAGACCAAUCCAACAGAGGCAGUGGGCGUGGUCUGUAAAGUGGAUGGGCGUUAUCAAGUAGUGGAGUACAGCGAGAUCACCUUGGCAACGGCAGAGAAGCGAAGCACCGAUGGUCGGCUUAUGUUCAGUGCCGGCAACAUAGCUAAUCACUUCUUCACCCUUACAUUCCUCAAAGAUAUUGUGAGGACUCACGAGCCACAGUUGCAGCACCAUGUGGCACAGAAGAAAAUUCCCUACGUGAACACACAAGGGCAGCUAAUCAAACCUGACAAACCCAAUGGGAUUAAGAUGGAAAAAUUUGUCUUCGACAUAUUCCAGUUUGCCAAAAAGUUUGUGGUAUAUGAAGUUCUGAGAGAAGACGAGUUUUCUCCAUUGAAGAAUGCAGACAGUCAGGAUGGGAAGGAUAAUCCCACUACAGCCCGUCACGCCCUCAUGUCCCUGCAUCACCGCUGGAUCUUAAAUGCAGGAGGGCAUUUCGUUGAUGAGAAUGGAACACGUAUACCUGCUAUACCCAGACAUGGACCAGCAGGAACAGUCACUCCUGAAGUCAGCCAGAAGUAACUAUUCUCACUGUCGUAUGUAGUGCAUGGUGAUGGGGCUUCGCUCUUUGUAGAUUCCGUGUAGCUAUUAGAGCUCAGUGGGAGAAGAUGUCCAAUCCCAGACAGGCCAUAGUAAAGGUUGGCAUCUUUUAACUGGCUCUGACCCAAAAAGCAGCUACUAACGGGCAGAAUAAUAUGCAUGCUGGGAAAUGAGCAUCUGGAAUGCUGAACAGAACAAGGCUGCUCAUCACUAUAACAAGUAAUCUGGUUUAGCCUGAAGGAUGGAACAGACCUGCCAAUCAAAUGUGAGAUCUCUCCUCUUGUGUCUUAUGGUGGUGAGGGGUUGGAGCAUCUUGUGAAUGGACAAGCUUUCCAGCCCACUCUGGUCAUUGAUGAGAAAGGCACCCAUGAGCUCGUGAAGAACGGCCUGUGAACAUACUGCUGGCGACUGCACUUGAAACCAAAAUGAAGACUCUUUAUCUCUUUAUCCUCUUCUUCUCACUUCUUGCCAGAGUGGAGGAAACUGAAAUUCUUGUACAAUAAAUUGAAGAAACGGGGGCAGAAGGCUAAUCACAAUCAAACCAUUUUAUGAUCAAACUAUUUAUUUUGCGAAGAAUUAUUUUUAUAUUAAUGUGCAUUUCUUUCUUUAUUGAAUUGGAGCUUAUGAAUUUAGCUGUUUAACAUAUAGAUGUAAAACAUUACAUCAAAUGAUACACAAUGCUAUAUACUGUGGGUUGCAUGAAUGGACACUGUUAAGAUUCUUUUACAAAAUGUACAUACAUGUAAAAACUGCACAAAACAAAGUGUAUGUCUGUUUUUAACAGGUAUGUUUUUCGACCAGAAAAAGUGAAUGAGAAUGUGACAUUGCGUCGGACUUUCCAGCACAGGGUUUAUGGGGGAUGUUCUGAUUGGUUGGAGUCUCUUGCUGACACUGAGAGUGCUUUAGAAAGUGUGCACUGAGACACCUACUCUUUCUCCUCUCUCUUUUACACUCUUCCUAUCUCACUUGCAAUCUUUAGGACAUCUCUUUUCUGAUUAGCCUUUGUCUACACCGUCUAUGUUAGUUUAUAUGUGCACAUCCAUGUAUAAAAUAAUUUAUCAUGAAAUA